This 425-nucleotide ribosomal RNA is filed under the name uncultured rumen bacterium. Its description in RNAcentral is "bacterial SSU rRNA". It matches the Rfam family "Bacterial small subunit ribosomal RNA", at positions 354 to 776 of the family's 1533-position model. The record is from RNAcentral.
GUGGGGAAUAUUGGUCAAUGGCCGGAAGGCUGAACCAGCCAUGCCGCGUGCAGGAAUAAGGCCCUAUGGGUCGUAAACUGCUUUUGUGGUGGAGCAAUAAGACGUACGUGUACGUCGAUGAGAGUACAUCACGAAUAAGCAUCGGCUAACUCCGUGCCAGCAGCCGCGGUAAUACGGAGGAUGCAAGCGUUAUCCGGAUUUAUUGGGUUUAAAGGGUGCGUAGGCUGUUCGUCAAGUCAGAGGUGAAAUACCUGAGCCUAACUCAGGAACUGCCUUUGAUACUGGCGAGCUGGAAUACGGAUGCCGUGGGAGGAAUGAGUAGUGUAGCGGUGAAAUGCAUAGAUAUUACUCAGAACACCGAUUGCGAAGGCAUCUCACGAAUCCGUCAUUGACGCUGAGGCACGAAAGCGUGGGGAUCAAACAGG